CGCAGAGUAGAGACCUGCGCGUGGGGCUUGGCCCCGAAGUGCCUGACCAACGGGGAGUUGUGGCAGGACGAAGUGACGGAAACGUCCGCGGUGCAGGUUUCGCAUCCCACUGCU
This is a non-coding RNA of Subdoligranulum sp. 60_17, 114 nucleotides long. The record is from Rfam. NCBI's taxonomy places the organism in Bacteria, Bacillati, Bacillota, Clostridia, Eubacteriales, Oscillospiraceae.